Molecule: long non-coding RNA, 1106 nt
Filed under: Hordeum vulgare
Lineage: Eukaryota; Viridiplantae; Streptophyta; Magnoliopsida; Poales; Poaceae
Description: long non-coding RNA (HVUL_LNC020306)
Source: RNAcentral
UCCGCCUUGUAAUUUGCUGCUUCUCACAUACUCUUUAUUGUUUUAUUUUACUAAACAGUGUGUGUUUGUACAAGAGAGAGAGAAAAUCACACACUCGUACAACGAUUGCUCAGUUACAUCAUCUGCACUCAUCGAAACAGUGGCGGAGCCACCGCCCAGCUACCUGGGCAGUUGCUCAGGCUGAGCUUGCAAUCUGUUCUUUAAAAGAAUGGCAAGGAUGAACAAAAUUCAGCUUUUUCAUGGACAAAUCACCAAAUAGGUGUCGGCCAUUAGGAGCCUUCAUAUGUUGCUCAGGUUAUCACAUUGAGCUGGCUCCGCCACUGCAUCCAAAUGGCCAAAUUCAGGCAUCACUCACAGCGUUCUUCACAACGACGGUACUCAUGGUGCUUAUAUUCGUGAAAACUCUGAAUAGACAAGCAUCACCAAGGUUGCAAUAGCCUUCUUAUGUCUUGCCUUGUCGAGUUGAUGGGGUUCUCUAAACACGCUGAGCAGUUGCAUAACCGUACUUGCAGCUCGCUGGAUUCAAAAUAACCAUUGCUCAAACAUGAGAAAUAUCGAAUCUCUUAUUAAUGUUUUGUAUGGCAUUGCCACGCCUUGAAGGGAAUUCAUAGCUGGAAUCUUGAUUUAGGGACUGAAAAAUAAAAUUGAAGUGCAAUUUUUGAACAUAGCUUAACAAUGUGCAGGACGUUAGCAAAGCCAGCGGACCAACACGUCGACACCGGCCAAUAAGCACCGAACUAAUUAAGGAUUUAAGAACACUUGUCGUCGCCGACCUGUGCAAUGAACCAUGCAUAGAACAAGUGCGGGUUUAUUGGAUCUGCGCCUCCACGAAAGUGAUGGAGACAGGGACGUCGCAACCAACUAAAAUCUCUCGGAAAUGUUAUGCGUCAUCAGUCACACACUAAACUAGUGAUGGCCACAUCUGUUGUCGUCAAAAGCUAAAUCUUUCGAUUGGCACACAACUGCUGCUGUCUUGUUUUGCUCGGACAUACAUUCGUCGACGUCAUGUGUAUAACCGAAGCACUUACCAACAGUGGAUGCUUACCACAUACAUAUACUCACUGAGACGUACACAUGACAUACUGAUCAGUGAUUACUGAACAAAC